GAGAACUAGGCCCCAAAAGUGUUUUGAAAGGUUCGUAGAGCCUUAGAAAACACUUUGGUUUCCUUCACCAAUAAAUCAAAUGAUUAUGAUAUAUUAUAAAUAUUUUAGCUUGGCUUGAUAAGCUUGUGGCAUGGGAGCUGAGCAUUCAUGAGUUUAGCAUACAAGAGAGAAGACUUGGAUUUCCUAUGAGAAACAGAGGUUUAAAGCAAGGGGAGAGGGAAUUUUGGGAGGAUUUGUUGAGGGAAAUGAGGAAAAGAUGAAGGUGGAAGAAUG
This 273-nucleotide long non-coding RNA is filed under the name Prunus persica (peach). Its description in RNAcentral is "long non-coding RNA (PPER_LNC000766)". The record is from RNAcentral. Lineage: Eukaryota; Viridiplantae; Streptophyta; Magnoliopsida; Rosales; Rosaceae.